UCCCUGAUAGCUCAGUUGGUAAAGAAUCUGCCUGCAAAGCAGGAGACAUGGGUUCAAUCCCUGGGUUGGGAA
This 72-nucleotide transfer RNA is filed under the name Bos taurus (domestic cattle). It matches the Rfam family "tRNA". Rfam says of the family: Transfer RNA (tRNA) molecules are approximately 80 nucleotides in length. RNAcentral also lists the same sequence under 5 other names. The record is from Rfam by way of RNAcentral. Lineage: Eukaryota; Metazoa; Chordata; Mammalia; Artiodactyla; Bovidae.